RNAcentral lists this ribosomal RNA (1436 nucleotides) under uncultured bacterium. RNAcentral describes it as "bacterial SSU rRNA". It matches the Rfam family "Bacterial small subunit ribosomal RNA". The record is from RNAcentral.
AGAGUUUGAUCCUGGCUCAGAACGUACGCUGGCGGCACGCCUAAUACAUGCAAGUCGAACGAAGUAGCAAUACUUAGUGGCAGACGGGUGAGUAACAUGUGGGUAUCUUCCCUUUGGUGAGGAAUAACACGAGGAAACUUGUGCUAAUACCUCAUAAGUCUUUACGGAGAAAGCUUUAUGCGCCAUUGGAUGAGCCCGCACUUGAUUAGUUUGUUGGUGGGGUAAUGGCCUACCAAGACUUUGAUCAAUAGCUGAUUUGAGAGGAUGAUCAGCCACAUUGGGACUGAGACACGGCCCAAACUCCUACGGGAGGCAGCAGUAGGGAAUCUUGCACAAUGGAGGAAACUCUGAUGCAGCGAUGCCGCGUGAGUGAAGAAGGCCUUUGGGUUGUAAAGCUCUUUCGUCGGGGAAGAAAAUGACUGUACCCGAAUAAGAAGGUCCGGCUAACUUCGUGCCAGCAGCCGCGGUAAUACGAAGGGACCUAGCGUAGUUCGGAAUUACUGGGCUUAAAGAGUUCGUAGGUGGUUAAAAAAGUUGGUGGUGAAAGCCCAGAGCUUAACUCUGGAACUGCCAUCAAAACUUUUUAGCUAGAGUAUGAUAGAGGAAAGCAGAAUUUCUAGUGUAGAGGUGAAAUUCGUAGAUAUUAGAAAGAAUACCAAUUGCGAAGGCAGCUUUCUGGAUCAUUACUGACACUGAGGAACGAAAGCAUGGGUAGCGAAGAGGAUUAGAUACCCUCGUAGUCCAUGCCGUAAACGAUGUGUGUUAGAUGUUGGAAAUUUAUUUUCAGUAUCGCAGCGAAAGCGAUAAACACACCGCCUGGGGAGUACGACCGCAAGGUUAAAACUCAAAUGAAUUGACGGGGACCCGCACAAGUAGUGGAGCAUGUGGUUUAAUUCGAAGAUACGCGCAGAACCUUACCAACACUUGACAUGUUCGUCGCGACUCUAAGAGAUUAGAGUUUUCGGUUCGGCCGGACGAAACACAGGUGCUGCAUGGCUGUCGUCAGCUCGUGUCGUGAGAUGUUGGGUUAAGUCCCGCAACGAGCGCAACCCUUACUUUUAGUUGCCAUCAUUUAGUUGGGCACUCUGAAAGAACUGCCAGUGAUAAGCUGGAGGAAGGUGGGGAUGACGUCAAGUCCUCAUGGCCCUUACGUGUUGGGCUACACACGUGCUACAAUGGCAUUUACAAUAGGAAGCAAGACGGCGACGUUAAGCAAAUCCUAAAAAAAUGCCUCAGUUCGGAUUGUACUCUGCAACUCGAGUACAUGAAGCUGGAAUUACUAGUAAUCGCGGAUCAGCGCGCCGCGGUGAAUGCGUUCCCGGGUCUUGUACACACCGCCCGUCACACCAUGGGAGUUGGUUCUACCUUAAGGCAAAGCUUAAAACCUUUGACCACGGUAUAGUCAGCGACUGGGGUGAAGUCGUAACAAGGUAACC